GACGUACUGCGCGAACGUUAUUCGGAAUCACUGGGCUUAAAGGGUGCGCAGGCGGCUCGCCAAGCCCGAAGUGAAAUGCCCCGGCCCAACCGGGGACGUGCUUCGGGGACUGGCGGGCUCGGGCGAGCUAGGGGUCUGUGGAACUCCCGGUGGAGCGGUGAAAUGUGUUGAGAUCGGGAGGAACGCCGGUGGCGAAAGCGACAGACUGGGGCUUUGCCGACGCUCAUGCACGAAAGCCAGGGGAGCGAACGGG
RNAcentral lists this ribosomal RNA (253 nucleotides) under uncultured bacterium. Its description in RNAcentral is "partial 16S ribosomal RNA". It matches the Rfam family "Bacterial small subunit ribosomal RNA", at positions 524 to 776 of the family's 1533-position model. The record is from RNAcentral.